RNAcentral lists this unclassified non-coding RNA (153 nucleotides) under uncultured Polyscytalum. Its description in RNAcentral is "sequence contains ITS1". Lineage: Eukaryota; Fungi; Ascomycota; Sordariomycetes. The record is from RNAcentral.
UAGAGUUUAACAACUCCCAACCCUAUGUGAACUUACCAUUGUUGCCUCGGCGGACCUACCCUGUAGCUACCCUGUAGCUGCUUGGCAGCCCGUCGGUGGACCAUUAAACUCUUGUUAUUUAUGGAUAUCUGAGCGUUUUAAACAAAUAAGUUA